GAUCUCAACUAAUUGCUAGAUGGAACUAAGAGAUGAGAGCUUGGCCUCUCAUGAGUAAUUUUGGCUUCUCAUAUUAUCAUCAUAAAUUUACUGAAUGUAUUAACAAAAUGCUUUGCAUGAGCAAUGGUCAAAAAGGUCUAUGUUUCCUUGUGUUUUGGAGACAUUGAUCAAGAAUUUCUUCCUGUCCUUCACGAGACGAUACUUCCUUUGUCGUUGGUAGAAGAUUGCAUCUCGAUCCCAAAGAUAUGAC
RNAcentral lists this long non-coding RNA (250 nucleotides) under Elaeis guineensis (African oil palm). Its description in RNAcentral is "long non-coding RNA (EGUI_LNC045486)". The record is from RNAcentral. Lineage: Eukaryota; Viridiplantae; Streptophyta; Magnoliopsida; Arecales; Arecaceae.